This 85-nucleotide transfer RNA is filed under the name Felis catus (domestic cat). It matches the Rfam family "tRNA". Rfam says of the family: Transfer RNA (tRNA) molecules are approximately 80 nucleotides in length. Their secondary structure includes four short double-helical elements and three loops (D, anti-codon, and T loops). Further hydrogen bonds mediate the characteristic L-shaped molecular structure. tRNAs have two regions of fundamental functional importance: the anti-codon, which is responsible for specific mRNA codon recognition, and the 3' end, to which the tRNAs corresponding amino acid is attached (by aminoacyl-tRNA synthetases). tRNAs cope with the degeneracy of the genetic code in two manners: having more than one tRNA (with a specific anti-codon) for a particular amino acid; and 'wobble' base-pairing, i.e. permitting non-standard base-pairing at the 3rd anti-codon position. The record is from Rfam by way of RNAcentral. Lineage: Eukaryota; Metazoa; Chordata; Mammalia; Carnivora; Felidae.
GCCUGGGUGGCUCAGUCGGUUGAGCAUCCGACUUCGGUUCAGGUCAUGAUCUCACAGUCUGUGGGUUCAAGCCCCGCUUUGGGCU